This 253-nucleotide ribosomal RNA is filed under the name uncultured bacterium. Its description in RNAcentral is "partial 16S ribosomal RNA". It matches the Rfam family "Bacterial small subunit ribosomal RNA", at positions 524 to 776 of the family's 1533-position model. The record is from RNAcentral.
UACGAAGGGGGCGAGCGUUGUUCGGAAUUACUGGGCGUAAAGGGCGCGUAGGCGGCCCUCCUUGUCGCGUGUGAAAGCCCCGGGCUCAACCUGGGAAUUGCAUUCGAGACUGAAUAGCUAGGGUACGGUAGAGGGAAGCGGAAUUUCCGGUGUAGCGGUGAAAUGCGUAGAUAUCGGAAGGAACAUCAGUGGCGAAAGCGGCUUCCUGGACCAGUACCGACGUUCAGGCACGAAAGCGUGGGGAGCAAACAGG